CCAGAGCCUUUAAAACCUACUCCAACUCCUGGCUGGUUAUAAAGCUACCUACUGACUUAUGACUCCCCUCCUGAUACCGCUCAAUACGACCUGAUGACCUCUCCUGCCCUCAAUGCACUCUUCCAACUCUAACCCGAACCAACAUCAGCACCCAACUCCCCACGAAUAGACCCAUCUUUCCCCUGACCCACUCAACCUCUUCAACCACCUAUCUGCCACGCUAGCUUAUCACCCAUUGCACCUUACUCCUUUACUAAUUAACCUGCCAACCUCCAACUCCCUGAGUUAUCUGUCACCAUACUCCCUCCCACCUACACAUCUGUCACCCUAAACCCCUCAACCACUUGCCUCCCUAUUCUGUCACCCACCAGGUGUCUCCUCACUGACUUAUCUUACACAUUCAUUUUCUUCCAUAGCUUUUCAAUGUCUCUUUGGGAUAUUUAAACUAUUCAGCGGCAGAAUUACAACAGUUGGCACAAAGGGAUGUGUCCUGUCUUCCUCCAACAAUCCUACAUUACUGAGAAUUCAGUUGGAUUCAAGUUACGCUACAGAUUGAUGGAACCUGCAGCAUGGAAGUUGGGCCUGAGAUAUGAAGAAUGGAUGCACGAAUACAUCAUGCCAUGAUGAUGCAGCACUUGCUGUGGACUACACCAGAGGGCGCCCUAGAUCAAUCCAAGGAGUGGAACCGUACCUUCAGCAUCCCCAUCGUCUGCUCUACGACUGUCCUGGACAAGGUCUGGGCAACACAGAGUCUGCAUUCUUCAUCAGCCAGGGUUUAUGCAAAUGUGAAAACACCUACUCACUGCUUCCCUUUAUCCAUAGCAAAGAAUUCCAAUAAAUUGUAUGCCCUUUUCACAAA
Long non-coding RNA from Rhincodon typus (whale shark), 859 nucleotides. RefSeq lists it as uncharacterized. The record is from RefSeq and is a predicted model, not a curated record. The transcript is spliced from 2 exons. Lineage: Eukaryota; Metazoa; Chordata; Chondrichthyes; Orectolobiformes; Rhincodontidae.